RNAcentral lists this unclassified non-coding RNA (334 nucleotides) under soil metagenome. Its description in RNAcentral is "partial contains 5.8S ribosomal RNA, internal transcribed spacer 2, and large subunit ribosomal RNA". The stretch from base 1 to 120 matches the Rfam family "5.8S ribosomal RNA", at positions 35 to 154 of the family's 154-position model. The record is from RNAcentral.
GAUGAAGAACGUAGCGAAAUGCGAUAAGUAAUGUGAAUUGCAGAAUUCAGUGAAUCAUCGAAUCUUUGAACGCACAUUGCGCCCGCCAGUAUUCUGGCGGGCAUGCCUGUUCGAGCGUCAUUUCAACCAUCAAGCCCCCGGCUUGUGUUGGGGACCUGCGGCUGCCGCAGGCCCUGAAAAGCAGUGGCGGGCUCGCUGUCACACCGAGCGUAGUAGCAUACAUCUCGCUCUGGGCGUGCUGCGGGUUCCGGCCGUUAAACCACCUUCAUAACCCAAGGUUGACCUCGGAUCAGGUAGGAAGACCCGCUGAACUUAAGCAUAUCAAUAAGCGGAG